UGAAAUCUUCUUAAUCGAAAAAA
This 23-nucleotide small nuclear RNA is filed under the name Arabidopsis thaliana (thale cress). RNAcentral's name for it is "snRNA_12467". Lineage: Eukaryota; Viridiplantae; Streptophyta; Magnoliopsida; Brassicales; Brassicaceae. The record is from RNAcentral.